GAUGAACGCUAGCUACAGGCUUAACACAUGCAAGUCGAGGGGAAACGAUAGAGAAAGCUUGCUUUUUCUAGGCGUCGACCGGCGCACGGGUGAGUAACGCGUAUCCAACCUGCCCACCACUUGGGGAUAACCUUGCGAAAGUAAGACUAAUACCCAAUGACGUCUCUAGAAGACAUCUGAAAGGGAUUAAAGAUUUAUCGGUGAUGGAUGGGGAUGCGUCUGAUUAGCUUGUUGGUGAGGUAACGGCUCACCAAGGCGACGAUCAGUAGGGGUUCUGAGAGGAAGGUCCCCCACAUUGGAACUGAGACACGGUCCAAACUCCUACGGGAGGCAGCAGUGAGGAAUAUUGGUCAAUGGGCGAGAGCCUGAACCAGCCAAGUAGCGUGCAGGAUGACGGCCCUAUGGGUUGUAAACUGCUUUUAUAAGGGAAUAAAGUGGGUCUCGUGAGACUUUUUGCAUGUACCUUAUGAAUAAGGACCGGCUAAUUCCGUG
RNAcentral lists this ribosomal RNA (492 nucleotides) under uncultured bacterium. RNAcentral describes it as "bacterial SSU rRNA". It matches the Rfam family "Bacterial small subunit ribosomal RNA", at positions 28 to 507 of the family's 1533-position model. The record is from RNAcentral.